Molecule: unclassified non-coding RNA, 180 nt
Filed under: plant metagenome
Description: partial contains small subunit ribosomal RNA and internal transcribed spacer 1
Rfam family: Eukaryotic small subunit ribosomal RNA (bases 1-46)
Source: RNAcentral
AAGUCGUAACAAGGUUUCCGUAGGUGAACCUGCGGAAGGAUCAUUAAAGAAUGUCGAGCCUCACAGCUCUUAUUCUCACCCUUUGUAUACCAAACUUUGUUGCUUUGCGCUGGCCUUGGGCCUGCAGGACGAACCCGAACCUAGAAUCUCUGCCGUCUGAGUAUUAUAUAAUAGUUAAAA